UCUAUAGAAGACUUUAGAGUAGAAAUCUGAGUCUCACCCCACAUACCACCAAGGGAGUGACCAGUUAGUCUCAACAGAGCACUGAGUCCCAGUCUUAGACAUCAUGGAUUGGGUGUGGAACUUGCUAUUUCUGAUGGCAGUUGCCCAAAGUGCCCAAGCACAGAUCCAGUUGGUACAGUCUGGACCUGAGCUGAAGAAGCCUGGAGAGUCAGUGAAGAUCUCCUGCAAGGCUUCUGGGUAUACCUUCACAGACUAUGCAAUGCACUGGGUGAAACAGGCUCCAGGAAAGGGCUUGAAGUGGAUGGGCUGGAUCAACACCUAUACUGGGAAGCCAACAUAUGCUGAUGACUUCAAAGGACGGUUUGUCUUCUCUUUGGAAGCCUCUGCCAGCACUGCAAAUUUGCAGAUCAGCAACCUCAAAAAUGAGGACACGGCUACAUAUUUCUGUGCAAGACACAGUGUGUAAAACACAUCCUGAGGGAGUCAGAAACCCUAAGGGAAAAGUGGUUCAGCUGUGACUAGACAAAAACAGAGAAAACAUUCUUCCCUUGAUCUUUGACCACAAUUAAAACAGAUAGAAAAUUGGCAUGUGGACAGCCAAAAGUAUACUCAGUGGGGCUGGGCUGUGAAGAACCAAUGAAAUAUGGGUAAAGAAAAUGUGUUUCAUUUACACAAUGGAAUAAUAAUCAGCUAUGAAAAACAAGGAAGGUACGGAAUUUGUAGGCAAAUGGAUGGAAGUAGACAAUAUUUUCCUGUGUGAGGAACUAGGACCCCAAAGGAUAGUCAUGGUGUGUACCCACUUAUAAGUGUAUAUUAGCUAUGAAAAUCAGGAUCACCAUGUUAUCAUCCACAACCCAAAGAAUCCAAAAGCAAAAAACAAAACAAAACAAAAACAAGGAGGGCCCAAUGGAGACUGGUUGAAUCUUUCUCAGAAUGGAAAUAAAAUAGGUAACAGAAUUUGAUGGCAGAAGGGAGCUGGGUAGAGAGAAGCCUGGGAGGGUUAUUGGGUAUCAGAUUUAGGGAGAAGCCAAUGGUCAUUGUCGGAAUCAGUCUAGCUGAAUUUCCUAGCAGAGGGUUAUAUGAAUCUGUAGAAAACUUUUCUUGUCACUCAUAGAAAUUUUUGUAAAUACCUGUGACAGGGCUCUGGGAAGUAGGCUCAGAGAAUAUUCACAUUUGGGCUAAAGAAAGGAUGAAGGAUCAAGGUGAACACAGCCAAAGAAUGUAUGUGUGACUUCUCUUUUGUCUUGAUAAUACUGUUAAGCCCCAGGGACCCUGAGGAACUUAUUACUUUGCUUGAUGGCUACCUGGUAUGAUCUCAUAGAUCUUUGCCAUGCUUGAACCCCUUGUUUUUGAUCUGAGAACUGACCUUAUUUUUUUGUAUGUAUCUAGAUUGAUAUGAAAUCAUACUUGAAAAUAAUAAACCUG
This is a non-coding RNA of Rattus norvegicus (Norway rat), 1425 nucleotides long. The record is from the annotation of a RefSeq genome assembly. Lineage: Eukaryota; Metazoa; Chordata; Mammalia; Rodentia; Muridae.